Long non-coding RNA from Amphiprion ocellaris (clown anemonefish), 703 nucleotides. The record is from Ensembl. NCBI's taxonomy places the organism in Eukaryota, Metazoa, Chordata, Actinopteri, Pomacentridae.
GUGGGUUUUACAUAUAGCACAUAGAUAACAAUAUUUACAAACGUUUGGAAUACUUACAUAGGCAUUUACACACAAAUAAGCACAAACACACAAAAGUCCACGAGAUGCGUCUCACUGUUGUGGCUCCCUCUGCGUACUGAACACCUGAGGAGCAGUGCGCAUGUCAUUGGGAGCCGAAUGUGACGCAAUGACGCUGUCUCUUAAAGGCACAGCAGGUAAGGGCAGGGAAAUUUGCACACUCAUUCACAUGAAGUGGUUUUGUUGUCAGUGAUUAUAUAAAGACCUGUUGCUUUCACACUCUUCAGUGGAUCAGCCAUGGACAAAGGUUUGCUGCUGGUCCUGUUGUGUCUGCAGGUCGUCCUGCUCACUACAGUCUUCACUUCUGCUGAUGCAGCUGCUCUGCUGAGAGACGAUCAGCAUCAACAACCUGUUGAUCCGACGAGAAGUCUGCAGCAAGUGAAAGAAGGAGGACAGAUGGAAAAAAAACGUCUAUUCCGGAGACACUGCGGGAGCAGACCAGGAGGAUGCACUUUGUUGGGAAGCAUGCUUCGGCCAGUACAACCCACUCUGAAACCAGACAUCUAGAGUCAAGCUCUGCAGGAAGUGCCAUCAGAUGCAGAAGACUGCAAAUGAAUGAAGAUAAUUGUAAUGCUUACAAAACAAUGCAAAUGCUCUUAACCAGAAAUAAAAGAUUUCUAAUCAG